RNAcentral lists this long non-coding RNA (2265 nucleotides) under Homo sapiens (human). Its description in RNAcentral is "HSALNT0341987". Lineage: Eukaryota; Metazoa; Chordata; Mammalia; Primates; Hominidae. The record is from RNAcentral.
GACGUACCACCAAGGGAAUGUGGGUGAGUGACCAAGGCAGGUGUCCCCACCGUGAUCAGACACCAAUGGAGUGUGGGUGAAUAAUCAGGCAGGCGUCCCCGCAGUGAUUAAACACCAAGGGAAGACUGUCUUCCCAAGUCCGUGACUGGUGCUGGAGUUUUGGGUCCAUGGAUAAAAUGUGUCUCCUUUGUCUCUACUAGAGAUGAAAAAGAACUGGAAUUGGAAGGACAGGGAGAUUGAAGGGUACCAGGAGAAGGAAUUUCACAAGGUUAAUCGCUCAGUUAAGAUGGGGCAGGAACAAAUCACAAUGGUGGAAUGUCAUCAGUUAAGGCAGGAACAGGCCAUUUUCACUGCUUUUGUGAUUCUUUGGUUACUUCAGGCCAUCUGGAUGUAUACGUGCAGGUCACAGGGGAGGAUGGCUUAGCUUGGGCUCAGAGGCCUGACAGUCGUUUUAUCUAAAUCAGCGUGAGACCAAGGACCCUGGUGUUCCUCCAGUCAUUGGAGCCAUAUCAUUUGUGUUCUUAAGACCAAAAUACAUGGGCAAAGAUCCUACUUGAUUCUUACAAUGUAAAAAUCUCCCAGUUAGUAAACAAAGGCCUGGUUUGAGUCACCACAAUAUAGUCAUGGCCCCUGACCUAAUUCUCACACCUAGGUCAGACUAAGAAUGAAGAGCCAGAGAAAAGGCCCUGUCAUCACAUCACAAGUUCUUGCCAUGAAUCUUCUUUUCUCCAAGCCUUCUUCACAGGAUCCAAGGGCACCAGACACUCUGGGGAUUAUCAGACACUGUGUAUGCACUAACACUAAUUCUUGGAGACCCAGAAUUCCACUGUGACUUCCCAUCAGAGUGAAAGCAUUACUGCUACAUUGAGGGAGUAGCCCUUACAAACAGUGGAGACAGGAAAUCUUCCAAGGGAACAGAAUUGUUAAGUAACAUAUCUCCUCCAUUCUGUCAGGAGGUAGAGAUGUCUGAUAUAAAAAUCUAUGCUGAUUCACAGAUAGUGGCUAAUAACAUAACCAGAUGACCAGAAAUUUGGAAAGAACACAACUGGGUAUGAGGUCUGGAGGAAAAGUAUGCCCAGAGUUCUUGGAAUGGGCCCAAAGAAUCAGAAUAUUUGUGUCCUAUGUGAAUGCUCAGUUAAAAGCCUUCAGUGCUUAUACUAAUCAAGUGGUCAAGAUGACCUCUGUAUGGAUGUCAAUCGGCUGUCUUUUCCAGCCACCCCAGUGCUUAAGAUUCAUGGUCAAAUUGGCCAAGAGUGCAGGGAUGUGGCCUCCACAAUGUGGACUUCCCCCUCACCACAGCUGACAUGACAACCCAGCUAUAUUGACAGCCUACUUGUCAGCAGCAGUGACCAACCAGGCAAGUCCACACCCAGGAGAGAACAGCCCAAGUCUGACGGCAGGUUGAUUACAUCUGAUCCUCUUCUAUCACAGAGCAGGCAGCAAUUUGUCCUUCCUGGAGGGGACACACCUUGGAAUUGUAUUUGUUUUGUAUGUUCUCCAAAUUUUUACCACCACCACCCUUCAUGAACUUACUAAAUGGUUUUUACAUUGUUUGUUAGGCUAUCCCAUAGACAUUGCUUCUGAUCAUGAAACUCACUUUAUGGUGAAAAGAGGGCAGGUAUGUCAGCUCAGUGAUUUCAUCAAAGAACUGAGAAACAAAGUGCAAUGCAGGGUGACGUGUCUCAGUUUAAUACUAGUGAUCCACUAAGUCUUUGUUUCUAUCCCCUGGGAUUCUGAGCUUUGCUGGUUUAGAACCUUGAACCUCCUGGGAGCAAGUGAUCCUCCUACCUCAGCCUCCCAAGUAGCUGGGACUAGAGGCAUACCAUCAUGCAUGGCUAAUUUUUUUUUUAAGAGAUGGGGUCUCACUAUGUUGCCCAGGCUUACUUGUAUAUUUUAAUUAAUGUUCUCCUUUUUGCUGUUCCCUUACCCCAUUACUAUAUAGUUAAGAUAUUAGAUACGCAGAUUGUAUUGAUGGUGGCUAACUUUAUAAUUUAGUUCAUAUAUGAGAGAAUAUCAAGAUAAAAUCAUAACUGGAACUAGGAGAGGAAUGGAUGUCAUUUAAAUAUCUUGGGCUUGGAGCUGGAUGUAGUAUAGUAGAGGGAUGUGAUUUCAUUUCUGGUUGAGCGGAUAAUUAAAUGUAUUUGAAUUAUGUGUAAAUUUCACAUUUUUUGAUAUACAAAGAACAGAUAAUUGUAUCAGUAGGUAAUAGGAUAUUUUAUUUCAAAACAGUGAAGAAGCUGCUAAGCAUAAAAUUUGUCAAAUGCU